CAGUACACACAAUCUCAUGCACGGAUUGACUUGAUUUGAUUGUAAUAAAAGAAAAAGGGGGUAGGCAUACUUCGUGGUUUUGGGGAAUUCUUAGAAAUCAUUUAAACUUAACGAGAUACAAAGCCUCCACACGACCCCUCCCCUCGCACCCAGUUCCUUCAUUUUUGAAUUUAGCAAUAUUCCCUCUCCGCAAAGGGCUGUCCAAAUGCGGGGAGAGUUAAGAAAUGCACUUGCGGGGGCCCAUAAAUUCUGGAUUUCAAUUUCAAAGUAUAUUUUUUUUUUUAAAUGCGCCGUUUAGUUUCAAACUAGCGCUCCUAGCCAUUAUAGUUACCGCCCUAGCGAUUGUAUUAGUGGCUUAAGUUAUUUCUGGGCGUAGAGUUGCAAGUAGGAGGGAACGACUUGGAACAAAACAUUUCAAAUUCGUUCAACCUUAACGACGAAGAUAACAAAACAGUUUUGAUAUCAAUGUGGAAAUAUCACAAAGACUUUUGGAAGUUUGAACGCACAAUAACAACUGACAGCUUUUACUUACCAACUUGUACCACAUCGCAUAUCUCUCUCCCUGGUGUGCUUGUGGUGCGUACCUGCGCACUAGUGAACCAGAACAGGAAGACGCUAGGACAGGGAAGGCUGUUGUUGGCCCGCAAUCAGGCUGCUGGUAAAAGAACUGGUAGAAUUAGUAUCAAGAGUCUUUGAAUGCAGAAGGCUGUUAUGUGUUUGUCCUGAUUUUGACAAUUUAAAAAAACAUGAUGGGGAAAAGAAGGAAAACAAAAGACAGUUUUUUAGAUUUAAUUGAAUAUAUUACUUAUUGAUUUUAAUGUCCUGCUUUGACAUUUAUUAAACAAUUUGUCCAAAAAAAAAAUGCUGAAAAAAAAAGUUGCAAAGAAUAAAUGAAACAUUUUUGCUAUCACAAUUGGAAUACGCCUUUUGGUUUUUUUUUUUACUUUUUUGUUAAAAUCAUGACCUUUUUUGAUAUUUGAA
Long non-coding RNA from Biomphalaria glabrata, 981 nucleotides. RefSeq lists it as uncharacterized. Lineage: Eukaryota; Metazoa; Mollusca; Gastropoda; Planorbidae. The record is from RefSeq and is a predicted model, not a curated record. The transcript is spliced from 3 exons.